GUGCUCACUCCGGUAGCACAUAUACUGAAAUUGGAAUGAUACAUGAUUAGCAUGCCCCCACUCCACACAGGGAAACACGAAAACUCUUU
RNAcentral lists this small nuclear RNA (89 nucleotides) under Otolemur garnettii (small-eared galago). The record is from RNAcentral. Lineage: Eukaryota; Metazoa; Chordata; Mammalia; Primates; Galagidae.